UUUCCGUAGGUGAACCUGCGGAAGGAUCAUUACCGAGCGUUUGGCAGCCCUGUUCCAGGGUUGCCUACCUCCCACCCGUGACUACCGUACCUUGUUGCUUCGGCGGGCCGCCGUCAGGCCCCCGGGGCGGGGGAGAAAUCCCCCCCCCUUCCGGGGCAGCGCCCGCCGGAGACACCUUGAAACUCUUUGUGUGAAGAUUGCCUCUGAGUUUGACACAAAAUAGCCAAAACUUUCAACAACGGAUCUCUUGGUUCCG
This 256-nucleotide unclassified non-coding RNA is filed under the name soil metagenome. RNAcentral describes it as "partial contains small subunit ribosomal RNA, internal transcribed spacer 1, and 5.8S ribosomal RNA". The record is from RNAcentral.